Molecule: non-coding RNA, 30 nt
Filed under: Mus musculus (house mouse)
Lineage: Eukaryota; Metazoa; Chordata; Mammalia; Rodentia; Muridae
Source: RNAcentral
UAAUGCACCCUUUUUUCUUUCUAGAGGUUC